This 484-nucleotide ribosomal RNA is filed under the name uncultured bacterium. RNAcentral describes it as "partial 16S ribosomal RNA". It matches the Rfam family "Bacterial small subunit ribosomal RNA", at positions 28 to 523 of the family's 1533-position model. The record is from RNAcentral.
GACGAACGCUGGCGGCGUGCUUAACACAUGCAAGUCGAACGAUGAAGCUGGAGCUUGCUCCGGUGGAUUAGUGGCGAACGGGUGAGUAACACGUGAGCAAUCUGCCCUUGACUCUGGGAUAACUGCGGGAACCUGUAGCUAAUACCCGAUACUUUCACUGGAAGGCAUCUUCUGGUGAAGAAAGAAUUUCGGUCAAGGAUGAGCUCGCGGCCUAUCAGCGUGUUGGUGAGGUAACGGCUCACCAAGGCGACGACGGGUAGCCGGCCUGAGAGGGUGACCGGCCACACUGGGACUGAGACACGGCCCAGACUCCUACGGGAGGCAGCAGUGGGGAAUAUUGCACAAUGGGCGCAAGCCUGAUGCAGCAACGCCGCGUGAGGGAUGAAGGCCUUCGGGUUGUAAACCUCUUUUAGCAGGGAAGAAGCGAAAGUGACGGUACCUGCAGAAAAAGCACCGGCUAACUACGUGCCAGCCGCCGCCGUAA